This 406-nucleotide long non-coding RNA is filed under the name Eucalyptus grandis. RNAcentral describes it as "long non-coding RNA (EGRA_LNC007729)". Lineage: Eukaryota; Viridiplantae; Streptophyta; Magnoliopsida; Myrtales; Myrtaceae. The record is from RNAcentral.
CUAGAUUUAGGUCAUAGAAGAGGACGAUACCGUAAUUUUCCUUUUAUAGCUCAUGUUAAUUUGCUUGUUCACUGGUCAUAUUCAUAUUCAGGUAUUGUAAGGAAUAAAAGGAGGGCUCUGUAUGUUGUAUUGGGCCCUGGUAAUAAUCGAUAGGCUCGCAGGCAAACAGUGAUGCUAGCCAUCUCAAUUUUCAAAUAAGUUUGUUCCUCCCUUAUUUGACGAACAUCGGCCACUUUCCCUUUCUUUUCUGAAACUUGGGUCACGCAUAUGACUUUUAAACACUUAGCAACACAUGAGUCCCUCCUCGUAUGAUGUGGAUGUCCACAAAGAGGGAUGUCUAGACACUCAUUGACGGUGCAGCACCUUUGCGCACUCGUCGGCUGGAGCUAUUUUCGGAUACUCCCCA